RNAcentral lists this ribosomal RNA (587 nucleotides) under uncultured bacterium. Its description in RNAcentral is "bacterial SSU rRNA". It matches the Rfam family "Bacterial small subunit ribosomal RNA", at positions 338 to 916 of the family's 1533-position model. The record is from RNAcentral.
CCUACGGGAGGCAGCAGUGGGGAAUUUUGGACAAUGGGCGAAAGCCUGAUCCAGCAAUGCCGCGUGAGUGAAGAAGGCCUUCGGGUUGUAAAGCUCUUUUGUCAGGGAAGAAACGGUGUGGGCUAAUAUCCCGCACUAAUGACGGUACCUGAAGAAUAAGCACCGGCUAACUACGUGCCAGCAGCCGCGGUAAUACGUAGGGUGCAAGCGUUAAUCGGAAUUACUGGGCGUAAAGCGUGCGCAGGCGGUUUUGUAAGUUUGUCGUGAAAGCCCCGGGCUCAACCUGGGAAUUGCGAUGAAGACUGCAAGGCUUGAAUCUGGCAGAGGGGGGUAGAAUUCCACGUGUAGCAGUGAAAUGCGUAGAGAUGUGGAGGAACACCGAUGGCGAAGGCAGCCCCCUGGGUCAAGAUUGACGCUCAUGCACGAAAGCGUGGGGAGCAAACAGGAUUAGAUACCCUGGUAGUCCACGCCCUAAACGAUGUCUACUAGUUGUCGGGUUUUAAUUAACUUGGUAACGCAGCUAACGCGUGAAGUAGACCGCCUGGGGAGUACGGUCGCAAGAAUUAAAACUCAAAGGAAAUUGACGG